ACAAUAUUGAUGAUUUCACAUAGAAAAAAAGAUAAACAAAUAGUUACAUAAGAAAAAAAACAUCAUUUUUUUACCACACCCUUGUAGAUCUGCAACAGCCAAUGUAAUGCCUGCACGUCGUGCUGGUGGUGGUGUGACCACCGUUCGCCGCAAACAUUCGUUGGGUAAUUUACGUCGUGCUCAUCCAGCCUCGGGUGCAACAUGGAAUGUUCAGGUGGUUCGUGGAAAAAUGUCCUCAAAAUGUUUAUGGCAUGCUUGUAGAGCAUUAGUAUUGGGUCUUACUUUGUUAGCGGUGGGUGCGGGAAUGGCAACAUUGGGUUACUAUGCCGACCACUUAUCAAUUGGCUCCGAAAUACGUGGCAAUGCUACUGUACGUGUUAAAAAUGAUCUCAAGGGUUUUCAUCUAAAUAAUUUCUCUUACGUGGGUCCCAUAGUUAUGGGUUUUGGUGGUUUUAUUGUGGUCGCUUCGUGUGUCAUGACAUUCGAGGCACGUGAUUCGGCUGCCAAAGUUGUGCCGGCACGUUUAAGAGCUGGCACUGGCAGUAAAAUGACUGUGCGCAGCAAUCAAAGUAGUUCAGCCUCACAAAGAAGAGCUAUAGGCAUGCAAUUUCAAAAUACCCGCUGGGAUCAACAGUUUGGUGUUUUUCGUUCUUCCCCAGCCGCUGAAGUACCUCAAACCACUAAUAUGCCCCUUGAUCGUGAAGCCUUAACUGCUGAAUUAGUAAAAUUUUCUAAAUCGCUCAGUGCAUCUGCUCGCUUUUCACCACAACUACGACGUCUCACCUACACUGGUUCUGUGCCAAAUCUCUCCACUCAUCAUGCCACACAUCCCCUCGCAUAUUCCACUAAUUUAUCACAUUUACUCUCGCCGAAUCACAAACCACUGCUGUUGCUGGAACCUAAACGACAUCGUAAUCAUCAUCGACAUCAUCAUCACCACCACAAUAACCACCAUCAUCAUCAACACCAACAACAACAUUACAAUACAAAUAAUCGUUCCUCAAUGGCAACAACAACAACUACCAUUAACGAUAUAAGUAAUCGUCAGAUCAAAAAUCGUGGUACACGUAUUAGUAAUAGUUUAAUUCAAAGAACAACACGUGAAAGUGUUACAUCUGCCACCUGUACACUGUUGCAGCCACCGAGUGGCAAUAAUAAAUUGUACUGGCAUGCAGCCUCAUUCGAUGAGAGUUGUCGUUUGAUGGCCGAUAAACAGCAACAACAGAGAGAUCGGGUAGCAGAACGUACAAGACGUUCGGAUACGGCCAAGCGUCAUGUUUUAGCGCGUCAAAAGCCCAUCGAACAAGAGGAAGAUCGCGAUAAGUUAUCAUCUAGUCCUUUGGGAAAUCGAAGAUGUUCUACCAUGUCGGAUUCUUCGUAUAGUGGCCGCUGGACGGCUCGUUGUGCUUCUAUUGCCAGUCGUGCUUCUAGCAUAGAUUCAAGACGUAUACAAGUAGAUUUACAUAGUCCGGAGGUAAUGCCCAAAUCUAUAUUACGUUCACCGAAACGUUAUAGCUCAGGUCCAUCGACAACACCUUCAGUCGAAAAGGAAUUUCGAAGUCAACUUUCCGUAUGUUCUGAGCCACCCGCCGCCAUACGUCAACUCUCGGGUCAAUCAAGUCUAGAACCAUGUCUGCCCGAAGAAGCUAUAGAGCUUGCAGAUGCAGAUAGCUAUCAAAUUUCCCAAACCGAAACUCCUCGUUCGUUAACUACUACCACAAUAAUCAAUCCAGUAGAUCUUCCACCGCCACCACAAUCACCAACAACACCACCGGCGCCACCGCCAACAGCAUUACCAACAACUAAACCGGAAAUUAAAUCACCCAACCGGUCUGGUAUAUUGAAGAAACCCCGCCCCGAUUCAUUACCACUAAUGCAAAAUUCUGCCGUUAUUGAUUUUAGUAAAACCACCAACGUCAAUCAUGAACGUUAUAAAAAUCUGCAACGCAGCAAUUCCUCACGCACUUAUGAUCGUCCCAAAUGCCAUAAAACCUCAGAACAUGAUGAUUCCAUAUUUUAUAUACGUUCCGAACAUAGAGUUCUACAGCACUGUAAUGAUUUCUAUGAUUCCGAACAGGUUAUCAAUGAAAGACGUUCAACUCUGCUGAAGGCGGAUAGUGAAACUGCUUUGGCCGAACGUAAGUUAAGUUCCUUUUCAAUACCGGAAAGAAUAUUGGAGCAAUCGGGGUCAGGGACGGGUGGAGAUAUUGAGGAAUCAAAACCUCCUGACGAUAUCGUCUUGCAGAUUGAAGUGGACAGUAAUAAAGAGGAAGAGAAUAAUAUUGUAUAGAGUUUAAGCAGCUGAUACUUAUUAAUUAAUUAAUGAAUUAAACGGAAUUACUUUACAACUCAAAGUUGUAGUUGUGUAGAAGAAAAGUGAAAUACAUUAAUGUUUAUCUGUUUUUAGCAUAAAUGUUGUUAACUAUUUUAAAAUUUACAAAAGAAAUUAUUACAACAAAUUAAAAAUAAAUUCAACAACAAACAACAAUUAAAAUAAAAGCAAUGUACUUAUGAGUAACUACUUUGUAUAUGUAAGAAAUUAAAAAUACAAAA
RNAcentral lists this unclassified non-coding RNA (2553 nucleotides) under Lucilia cuprina (Australian sheep blowfly). RNAcentral's name for it is "uncharacterized LOC111689830, transcript variant X2". The record is from RNAcentral. Lineage: Eukaryota; Metazoa; Arthropoda; Insecta; Diptera; Calliphoridae.